ACUUAAAUUGAAGAGUUUGAUCAUGGCUCAGAUUGAACGCUGGCGGCAGGCCUAACACAUGCAAGUCGAGCGGUAGCACAGAGAGCUUGCUCUCGGGUGACGAGCGGCGGACGGGUGAGUAAUGUCUGGGAAACUGCCUGAUGGAGGGGGAUAACUACUGGAAACGGUAGCUAAUACCGCAUAACGUCGCAAGACCAAAGUGGGGGACCUUCGGGCCUCAUGCCAUCAGAUGUGCCCAGAUGGGAUUAGCUAGUAGGUGGGGUAACGGCUCACCUAGGCGACGAUCCCUAGCUGGUCUGAGAGGAUGACCAGCCACACUGGAACUGAGACACGGUCCAGACUCCUACGGGAGGCAGCAGUGGGGAAUAUUGCACAAUGGGCGCAAGCCUGAUGCAGCCAUGCCGCGUGUGUGAAGAAGGCCUUCGGGUUGUAAAGCACUUUCAGCGGGGAGGAAGGCGUUAAGGUUAAUAACCUUCUCGAUUGACGUUACCCGCAGAAGAAGCACCGGCUAACUCCGUGCCAGCAGCCGCGGUAAUACGGAGGGUGCAAGCGUUAAUCGGAAUUACUGGGCGUAAAGCGCACGCAGGCGGUCUGUCAAGUCGGAUGUGAAAUCCCCGGGCUCAACCUGGGAACUGCAUUCGAAACUGGCAGGCUAGAGUCUUGUAGAGGGGGGUAGAAUUCCAGGUGUAGCGGUGAAAUGCGUAGAGAUCUGGAGGAAUACCGGUGGCGAAGGCGGCCCCCUGGACAAAGACUGACGCUCAGGUGCGAAAGCGUGGGGAGCAAACAGGAUUAGAUACCCUGGUAGUCCACGCCGUAAACGAUGUCGAUUUGGAGGUUGUGCCCUUGAGGCGUGGCUUCCGGAGCUAACGCGUUAAAUCGACCGCCUGGGGAGUACGGCCGCAAGGUUAAAACUCAAAUGAAUUGACGGGGGCCCGCACAAGCGGUGGAGCAUGUGGUUUAAUUCGAUGCAACGCGAAGAACCUUACCUGGUCUUGACAUCCACAGAACUUUCCAGAGAUGGAUUGGUGCCUUCGGGAACUGUGAGACAGGUGCUGCAUGGCUGUCGUCAGCUCGUGUUGUGAAAUGUUGGGUUAAGUCCCGCAACGAGCGCAACCCUUAUCCUUUGUUGCCAGCGGUCCGGCCGGGAACUCAAAGGAGACUGCCAGUGAUAAACUGGAGGAAGGUGGGGAUGACGUCAAGUCAUCAUGGCCCUUACGACCAGGGCUACACACGUGCUACAAUGGCAUAUACAAAGAGAAGCGACCUCGCGAGAGCAAGCGGACCUCAUAAAGUAUGUCGUAGUCCGGAUUGGAGUCUGCAACUCGACUCCAUGAAGUCGGAAUCGCUAGUAAUCGUAGAUCAGAAUGCUACGGUGAAUACGUUCCCGGGCCUUGUACACACCGCCCGUCACACCAUGGGAGUGGGUUGCAAAAGAAGUAGGUAGCUUAACCUUCGGGAGGGCGCUUACCACUUUGUGAUUCAUGACUGGGGUGAAGUCGUAACAAGGUAACCGUAGGGGAACCUGCGGUUGGAUCACCUCCUUACCUUAAAGAA
This 1554-nucleotide ribosomal RNA is filed under the name Klebsiella pneumoniae subsp. pneumoniae KPNIH7. RNAcentral's name for it is "bacterial SSU rRNA". It matches the Rfam family "Bacterial small subunit ribosomal RNA". The record is from RNAcentral. Lineage: Bacteria; Pseudomonadati; Pseudomonadota; Gammaproteobacteria; Enterobacterales; Enterobacteriaceae.